AAUCUUCCGCAAUGUACGUAAGUCUGACGGACCAAUGCCGCGUGAGUGAUGAAGGUUUUCGGAUCGUAAAACUAUGUUGUUAGGGAAUAACAAGUAUCGAAGUUAUAUGUCGGUACCUUGACGUUAUAUUUCUAUAAAGCCCCGACUAACUACGUGCCAGCAGCCGCGGUAAUACGUAGGGGGCGAGCGUUGUCCGGAAUUAUUGGGCGUAAAGCGCGCGCAGGCGGUAUUCUAAGUCUGAUGUGAAAUCUCGUAGCUUAACAACGAGAGGUCAUUGGAAACUGGGAGACUUGAGUACAGAAGAGGAGAGUGGAAUUCCACGUGUAGCGGUGAAAUGCGUAGAUAUGUGGAGGAACACCAGUGGCGGAGGCGGCUCUCUGGUCUGUAACUGACGCUGAGGUGCGAAAGCGUGGGGAGCGAACA
This 423-nucleotide ribosomal RNA is filed under the name uncultured bacterium. RNAcentral describes it as "partial 16S ribosomal RNA". It matches the Rfam family "Bacterial small subunit ribosomal RNA", at positions 360 to 774 of the family's 1533-position model. The record is from RNAcentral.